CAGCAGCCGCGGUAAUACGGAGGGUGCAAGCGUUAAUCGGAAUUACUGGGCGUAAAGCGUGCGUAGGCGGUUCGUUAAGUCUGUUGUGAAAGCCCCGGGCUCAACCUGGGAAUGGCAAUGGAUACUGGCGAGCUAGAGUGUGUCAGAGGAUGGUGGGAUUCCCGGUGUAGCGGUGAAAUGCGUAGAGAUCGGGAGGAACAUCAGUGGCGAAGGCGGCCAUCUGGGACAACACUGACGCUGAGGCACGAAAGCGUGGGGAGCAAACAGGAUUAGAGACCCCGUAGUCCCUGUCUCUUAUACA
This 301-nucleotide ribosomal RNA is filed under the name uncultured bacterium. RNAcentral describes it as "partial 16S ribosomal RNA". It matches the Rfam family "Bacterial small subunit ribosomal RNA", at positions 509 to 808 of the family's 1533-position model. The record is from RNAcentral.